Molecule: long non-coding RNA, 720 nt
Organism: Clupea harengus (Atlantic herring)
Lineage: Eukaryota; Metazoa; Chordata; Actinopteri; Clupeiformes; Clupeidae
Source: Ensembl
GCGGAUCACAACUAUGCCUCUACAAACCAAGUUCAUGGCACAACUUGACAGAUACUCAGCUGACCUAACCAAGCUCUUCAGCAAGAGAGGCGGGGCUGCUGGGAAGAAGAUUAGACACAUCAUGGAGAGGACGGCUCAGUGUGAUGACAUAAACUCCAGACGAGAACGUGUCCUAAGAAGCCUCUGUGUCUACCUCAAUGAGGAUGAUAUAACUCUCAUCAAGGAAUACAUAAACCGCAACGUGGAAGAAGCGGACAGGGAGUCGGCCACCAUGGGACUUAAUGUCGUCCGGAGAGAGGGUGCUGAUUCAGGGGAAGAGCCUUAGCAUGUCGGAGUGGUGCUCGAGGGUGUGGAGCUGCUGAGCAAACUGGGAAGCGUUUCUUUUGGAUUUUCCAUGCUUUUUGGACUGAUUUACUGUCUCAACAUGAGCUACCCACAAGGGCUCAUUCACAUUUGAGUUCCUCCAGAAGGUGCUGAUGAACUUGGAUGGCAACAAUCUUUCUCCUAAGGUUCAAGCACUUAAAAUGAAGAUGCUCCAGUGAACUCACUUAUAGGAGAAUGACCGAAGCUGCCAGUCUCAAACCAUGAAGAUCCUUCUGGUCUACGCCCAAGAUGAUCCAGUGGAUGUUGCACUUGUAAUCGAUGGUGCUGAAGUGCUCACCAAAUGUGGAAACAAAACAAAGGCAUGUGUACUGCUGAUGGUACCCAUCUAAAUUAAAG